UGCAUGUCUNAGCACAAGCCGAAAAUGGUGAAGCCGCGAAUGGCUCAUUACAACAGCCUUAGUUUAUUUGAUCUUGAAAUCCUACUUGGAUAACUGUGGUAAUUCUAGAGCUAAUACACGCUAAAAAGCCUCAGUCUUACGGCCGAGGCGCAUUUAUUAGUACAAAACCAAUCGGGCCUUGUGCCCGUUGUUUGGUGAAUCUGAAUAACUGAGCCGAUCGCACGGUCUCUGCACCGGCGACGUAUCAUUCAAGUGUCUGCCCUAUCAACUUUCGAUGGUAGUUUAUGUGACUACCAUGGUUACAACGGGUAACGGAGAAUAAGGGUUCGACUCCGGAGAA
This 340-nucleotide ribosomal RNA is filed under the name Desmoscolecidae sp. 653_6-1500_X. RNAcentral describes it as "SSU rRNA". It matches the Rfam family "Eukaryotic small subunit ribosomal RNA", at positions 52 to 390 of the family's 1831-position model. Lineage: Eukaryota; Metazoa; Nematoda; Chromadorea; Desmoscolecida; Desmoscolecidae. The record is from RNAcentral.